AUUGAACGCUGGCGGCAUGCCUUACACAUGCAAGUCGAACGGUAACAGGUCUUCGGAUGCUGACGAGUGGCGAACGGGUGAGUAAUACAUCGGAACGUGCCCGAUCGUGGGGGAUAACGAAGCGAAAGCUUUGCUAAUACCGCAUAAGAUCUACGGAUGAAAGCAGGGGACCGCAAGGCCUUGCGCGAACGGAGCGGCCGAUGGCAGAUUAGGUAGUUGGUGGGAUAAAAGCUUACCAAGCCGACGAUCUGUAGCUGGUCUGAGAGGACGACCAGCCACACUGGGACUGAGACACGGCCCAGACUCCUACGGGAGGCAGCAGUGGGGAAUUUUGGACAAUGGGCGAAAGCCCGAUCCAGCCAUGCCGCGUGCAGGAUGAAGGCCUUCGGGUUGUAAACUGCUUUUGUACGGAACGAAAAGACUCUGGUUAAUACCUGGGGUCCAUGACGGUACCGUAAGAAUAAGCACCGGCUAACUACGUG
RNAcentral lists this ribosomal RNA (482 nucleotides) under uncultured bacterium. RNAcentral describes it as "partial 16S ribosomal RNA". It matches the Rfam family "Bacterial small subunit ribosomal RNA", at positions 30 to 507 of the family's 1533-position model. The record is from RNAcentral.